GUGGCGAACGGGUGAGUAAAGUAUCGGAACGUACCUUUCAGUGGGGGAUAACGUAGCGAAAGUUACGCUAAUACCGCAUAUUCUGUGAGCAGGAAAGCAGGGGAUCGCAAGACCUUGCGCUGAUUGAGCGGCCGAUAUCAGAUUAGCUAGUUGGUGAGGUAAAGGCUCACCAAGGCGACGAUCUGUAGCGGGUCUGAGAGGAUGAUCCGCCACACUGGAACUGAGACACGGUCCAGACUCCUACGGGAGGCAGCAGUGGGGAAUUUGGAACAAUGGGGGCAACCCUGAUCCAGCCAUGCCGCGUGAGUGAAGAAGGCCUUCGGGUUGUAAAGCUCUUUCGGCCGGGAAGAAAUCGUAUGGGUUAAUACCCUGUGCGGAUGACGGUACCGGCAUAAGAAGCACCGGCUAACUACGUGCCAGCAGCCGCGGUAAUACGUAGGGUGCGAGCGUUAAUCGGAAUUACUGGGCGUAAAGCGUGCGCAGGCGGUUUUGUAAGACAGGCGUGAAAUCCCCGGGCUCAACCUGGGAACUGCGCUUGUGACUGCAAGGCUAUAGUAUGGCAGAGGGGGGUGGAAUUCCACGUGUAGCAGUGAAAUGCGUAGAGAUGUGGAGGAACACCAAUGGCGAAGGCAGCCCCCUGGGCCAAUACUGACGCUCAUGCACGAAAGCGUGGGUAGCAAACAGGAUUAGAUACCCUGGUAGUCCACGCCCUAAACGAUGUCAACUAGGUGUUGGGUGGGUAAAACCAUUUAGUACCGGAGCUAACGCGUGAAGUUGACCGCCUGGGGAGUACGGCCGCAAGGUUAAAACUCAAAGGAAUUGACGGGGACCCGCACAAGCGGUGGAUGAUGUGGAUUAAUUCGAUGCAACGCGAAAAACCUUACCUACCCUUGACAUGUCCAGGAGCCUGAAGAGAUUUGGGUGUGCCCGAAAGGGAACUGGAACACAGGUGCUGCAUGGCUGUCGUCAGCUCGUGUCGUGAGAUGUUGGGUUAAGUCCCGCAACGAGCGCAACCCUUGUCGUUAAUUGCCAUCAUUUAGUUGGGCACUUUAACGAGACUGCCGGUGACAAACCGGAGGAAGGUGGGGAUGACGUCAAGUCCUCAUGGCCCUUAUGGGUAGGGCUUCACACGUCAUACAAUGGUCGGUACAAAGGGUUGCCAACCCGCGAGGGGGAGCCAAUCCCAGAAAGCCGAUCGUAGUCCGGAUCGCAGGCUGCAACUCGCCUGCGUGAAGUCGGAAUCGCUAGUAAUCGUGGAUCAGCAUGUCACGGUGAAUACGUUCCCGGGUCUUGUACACACCGCCCGUCACACCAUGGGAGCGGGUUCCGCCAGAAGUAGGUAGCCUAACCGCAAGGGGGGCGCUUACCACGGCGGGGUUCGUGAC
This 1385-nucleotide ribosomal RNA is filed under the name metagenome. RNAcentral's name for it is "bacterial SSU rRNA". It matches the Rfam family "Bacterial small subunit ribosomal RNA". The record is from RNAcentral.